Molecule: ribosomal RNA, 495 nt
Filed under: uncultured bacterium
Lineage: Bacteria
Description: partial 16S ribosomal RNA
Rfam family: Bacterial small subunit ribosomal RNA
Source: RNAcentral
GACGAACGCUGGCGGCGUGCCUAAUACAUGCAAGUAGAACGCUGAAGGAGGAGCUUGCUUCUCUGGAUGAGUUGCGAACGGGUGAGUAACGCGUAGGUAACCUGCCUGGUAGCGGGGGAUAACUAUUGGAAACGAUAGCUAAUACCGCAUAAUAGUAGAUGUUGCAUGACAUUUGCUUAAAAGGUGCAAUUGCAUCACUACCAGAUGGACCUGCGUUGUAUUAGCUAGUUGGUGAGGUAACGGCUCACCAAGGCAACGAUACAUAGCCGACCUGAGAGGGGGAUCGGCCACACUGGGACUGGGACACGGCCCAGACUCCUACGGGAGGCAGCAGUAGGGAAUCUUCGGCAAUGGACGGAAGUCUGACCGAGCAACGCCGCGUGAGUGAAGAAGGUUUUCGGAUCGUAAAGCUCUGUUGUAAGAGAAGAACGAGUGUGAGAGUGGAAAGUUCACACUGUGACGGUAUCUUACCAGAAAGGGACGGCUAACUACGUG